CUCCAGGAAACCGGCACACAGGUGGGGACUCCGUGCCGCAGGAGGAGGAGCUUCGGCCCUCAGUGUGUGUUCUGCUGCGGAGAGUCCAAGACAGUGAUCCUCGUGAUCCAGGGGCCCUCGUCCAAUGGUGAUGAGGACCCAUGAUCCUUCCAGCUGCUGGCUCUGCCUCUCCAACCAGGGACUUCAGAGCAAUGCACGCACCUGCACCAGGCAGGCCAGGAGUCAACAGCAGGGAGGCAGUGAGAGGCUUUGCAGCGGCAUCACUCCCACUCAUGUUCCAUCACACCCUGGCUUGUGGCCUCACCUGAGUACAGGGGCUGCUGGAAAAUGUGCUCCAGCUGGGCCCAAGGAGGGGAAAGAGGCUUGUGAAUGGCCAGCCAGUCACCACCACCUCUGAGACUGAACAUAAUGUGGCAGGGGGACUCCACUCCGAGGGAUUUACCCAAAAGAAAUGCAGACAUUGCUGCAAAAGACACGUUCACAGAAUGUUCACAACAGCCUUAUUCCUAACCGCCCUCCAGCUGGAGGCAACCCAAACGUCCUCUACAGAUGAAUGGAGAAACAAAGGGUGGUGCAUGUGAACAAUGCAGCACUACUCGGCAACAACAACCAAAAAAAGGUAAAUCAAUGACUGAUAGCAGCGGCAGCAAGGAAAAACCUCGGAAACAUCACCCUGGGUGAAAGAAACCAGAAACAAAUGGGCACAUGCAUGUGAUCCCAUGACACGGCAUUCCAAAACCACCCUCAAGUGGCAGAAAGCAGAUUGCGGGUGCCUGAGGCCAGGGUGGGGAGGGGGUGGCCUGCAAAGCAGAGGGAGGAUGGAGAUGCCCCAGGUCCCCCUUGGGUGACAGUUACAUGGGUGUGUACAUUCAUCAAAGCUCAGCAAACUGUACACCUCAAGUGGGGGCAUUGUACUGGAGGUAAAUU
Molecule: long non-coding RNA, 927 nt
Filed under: Homo sapiens (human)
Lineage: Eukaryota; Metazoa; Chordata; Mammalia; Primates; Hominidae
Description: HSALNT0234745
Source: RNAcentral